CCCCCCCCCCUUUCAUUAAUACUCUCCAGCUUCUAACAUAAACACAACCUCAUUAUUGCACGCUAUUCUAACCACAUACCACCAAUAUCGCCCCCAUUAGUGGUGGCAAAAUGGGUGGGUUGGACACGUUUGGGUAAUGGGUUAGGAUGGGUAUGGGUUAGGAUGAGUUUGGGUUUGGAUGAGUUUAUUAAGAAAUGGGUUAGGAUGAGUUUAGGUCAAGAUGUGUUUUUGUCAAUUUGGAUUUGGAAUUGAACCUUUGUAACAUUUACAGAAUCAAAUCACCUAGACACCUAAUCUGAUAAAAUAACAUUCAUUAAAAAGUAAACAAAUACUUUAAAUUCUAAUAAGCUUAAAUUUCCGUACGUCUCAAUGCACAAUAUUAACCAGAAAAAUUAAUUUUCCUACUUAAUAAAUCAAAUAACCCCAGAAUUUUAACCUUUGUAACAUUUACAGAAUCAAAUCAUCUGAUAAAACAACAUCCAUCUCAUAAUCCACAUAAAAUUAAACAAAUAAACA
This 516-nucleotide long non-coding RNA is filed under the name Helianthus annuus (common sunflower). Its description in RNAcentral is "sRNA HanXRQr2_Chr11g0518141". The record is from RNAcentral. Lineage: Eukaryota; Viridiplantae; Streptophyta; Magnoliopsida; Asterales; Asteraceae.